RNAcentral lists this non-coding RNA (24 nucleotides) under Arabidopsis thaliana (thale cress). The record is from RNAcentral. Lineage: Eukaryota; Viridiplantae; Streptophyta; Magnoliopsida; Brassicales; Brassicaceae.
GGAGGACCAAAUAGCCAUGGUCAA